AUGCGAGCACAUCCUGAAAGGCUUUGCCCGGCUGUGAAUUCAAGGUACUUCCUUCCUAAUGGGCAGGAUUUAAAAGCUGAAGUACAAGGUAACCCGACAACAGCGCCCAAGCCGCGAACAGGCCAAAAGCAAAGUUCAAAGACACGUUCCCCGGAUGCCCGGGCGCAUCCAGCGGCUUCGGGGGCCGCUCCCCGGCUGCCCGGCUGCCCCCGCGCCCGGCUCCGUCAGCGGCCCCGCCCCGCCCCGCCCGGCCCGGCCCGGCCCCCCUGCACACGUCCGCGAGCGGCUCCAGGUGCCUCCGGCCCCCCGCGCCCGCGCCCGCUCCGCACUUGCGCGCCCGCACACACACGCACGUGUCCACACACACCGUCCCCGGCCCCGCCCCGCCCCGCCCCGCCCCGCAGGCGCCCCCGGGCGAGGCGACCCGGCACGGCCUCCGCGGGGCGGGGGGUGCCGGGCGCGGCGCCCCCCGAGCCAACUCCUCGCGGCCGCCGGGGCUCCACCGCACCGCCGAGGCCCCGCCGGCUCCCGCGGCCCCUCACCGCGAGGCUGGCCCCGCAGCCCCGGAAUGCAAAGCGGGACCGGCGAGGAGGAAGGGGAGGGUCCUCCCCGGGGCUUGCUGCGUCGCAAUUCCUCCGGGGCCGCACGCAGCCGACCUGGGGCGGGGGGCGCUCCCAUUCUCACGGCUGCUUCCGGCCUUCCCGGGCGCGGGGGCUCUGUCGGUCGGAGCGCAAGCCCCGAGAACCGAGGCCGGCGCGCCCGGCCGCGGCCACCCCGCCGCCCGCGCCGCGCCGCGCCCCGACCCGACCCGACCUGCCCGCGCGCCCGGCUCCGCGUCGCCGCGGGGAGCGCCCCGCAGCCGCAGCCGCAGCCGCAGCCGCCCCUCCGGGAGCCGCGCGCCGACAGCCGAGCCCGCGGAACGCGGCGCGCCCUCCCCGGAAGCCCGGCCCCGAGCCGCGUACCUCGGCGACCGCGAGCACAGCGCGCCGCCCGGGAUCCCGCCCGUGA
Molecule: long non-coding RNA, 1008 nt
Filed under: Canis lupus familiaris (dog)
Lineage: Eukaryota; Metazoa; Chordata; Mammalia; Carnivora; Canidae
Description: lncRNA (ENSCAFG00040015649.1)
Source: RNAcentral